AUUAAUCGGAAAUCUCAAUUUUAAUUUUUCAAUUAAUCUCCGUUUUGGUGGUCAAAUACCCCAACGUGCAUCGCCGUAAUUUACUCUCAUAAGGCGAGGGAGGGAAUUGAGGAGUAACCAUACUUGAAUUUGAAUCAAAUUGUGAUCACACAAUCCCCACCCUCCCUUAACCGCCCAUCUAACACUGAAAGCCCUACUUGCUGCCUGAUUCAUAAGCAUUACGUAAAUUUCGCUCACGCCUCCAAGCCCCGUAUGUCCCCGUAACGGUCCUGAGUCGACCGAUGUGGAGCUGUAUCGAUUCGCAUCGUGGGUGUAACGGCAAUCCUGUCCAGAUGUCCAGUCAGCAAGACUGCCAAAAACACGUUGCUGCACUGGAACUGUGCGAAGCUUCCGCCAACAACAACAACGUGGAUUGCCCGUAUAUUACAUAGUAAUAAUAAAAUUACUUACUAGUAUUCACAUCAAUAAUAAUAUCAACAUCGAAAUCCAACGCAGAAUAACUCCGGCAAACAGGUGCUACUUCGGACUGAGUAAGCAAUUAAGAAAUAAAGUCUCUUAUCGACGUACAAAAACCAAACUCUAUAUAGCACUCACGUUACGAGUUUUCGAGAGAAAAGCUCUGCGAAAUAUAUAUUUAUGGUUCUUUGCGCAUUGGCCACGACGAAUAUCGAAUGGAACUAUGAGCUGUAUGAGAUAUACGACUACACUGACAUAGUUCAGCGACCCGUUGGAAAGACCAGGUGGAAAAGGACCUAACUAUGCUUGAAAUCUCCAAUUGGCGCCGCAUUACGAAAUGGAGGAACGACUGGCAUGUUAUAACCGCGUAAGCGGUGUCUACGCCAAUAAAAAAGAAUAGCCAGAUUUCGAUGUUUGUACUUGUAUAUGUAUACGCCAUAUUUUAGUUUUACAAUAUGCUUGUAGGCAAAAGCAUGCUCAGGGAGAUGUAAUGGUGUUUGCUUUAAUGAAUGAAGAGAGUUUGCCUAUUGAAAGUGCGUUUGCGUUCAUGAAUGAAAAUGUUGAUAUUGUGAAUUUACUUGUAAUGCUGCGUAUGCUAUUUGAGGAGAGUUUUGUAGAACAAUGUUUUUAGUUUUUGUAUGGACAAUUCAUACACACAUAUAUACAUAUAGUGAAGCGCGCGCAAUACAAUAAACAAUAUUUCCCCAAAGUUAUAGAUUGAAAUUCGAAAUAGUGAAGGUGUACUUAUGUACAUAUGCGCAUGAUAUAUAUACAUAUCACACUUUGUUAGCUUUUGACAAUUCACACGCCCGUCCGUAGUUGGCUUUCUUUAUAAUUUAUGUUCUCUGGCAAUCGGCCCUGUCGUAGAAUCCGAUUUUCUCGGUAUCGCAUUUCAAUCCGACAGUUUUUUUCGAAGGGUGUCGCACAAUCCGAUCUUAUCGAUUUUCAUGUUCGAAACGCAUUUUUAUAGGUUUAAGGUGUCGCGAAUUCCGGGUUUGUAGGUUUUCUUAUCGGAAACAAAACGAUCAGACGAUCGCCAACGUUUUUAUUUUAUGUGCCAUAUUUACACGAUGUAGCUACUAUUUCUUAUAAAAUGGGAAAACAUAAAAAUAGAGGACAAAAUGAUGUACUGUUGCAGUUUAUGGAGAAGUAUCCCGACAUCGCCAGAGGGUUUACCAAACGAGAAAAGGCGCUUGUGGACUCCCUUUGGCAACAAUUAGCAGAGUCGCUUAACAGCGCAGGCCCGCCAAUAAAGGAUGUGAACGGUUGGAAGAAGAUAUGGACGGACUGGAAAAGCGAAGUGAAAAAGAAGUGGCCCGAGCCACUGGUGGAGGACCAUUUUCUAAGUAUACAUUGAACCAAACGGAGGAAACCAUUGUACGCAUUUGUGGAAUGGCUCAGAGUGUUGGAGGGGUUUCGGGACUAUCAUUUGGUCUCGAGGAAGAAUAUUUAAUAUCAAGCGAUGACGAUAUCCCUUCAACUUCUGCGAUACGUCCCCGUCUUGACACCUCUAUCGCUCAAAAACCUACGCCAAAAGAAACAACAAAUGAGCGGCUAAAAAGUUUCUUGAGUACGACAAAGGAUGGAAGCAGGACAUAUCUAACAAAAUGGAUGCUAUCCUCGAAUUUCAAAAAAUUAGGAGGGAGACAGACAAGGCUUUAGUCAGCGCGGU
This is a long non-coding RNA of Bactrocera dorsalis (oriental fruit fly), 2128 nucleotides long. RefSeq lists it as uncharacterized. The record is from RefSeq and is a predicted model, not a curated record. The transcript has 3 exons. NCBI's taxonomy places the organism in Eukaryota, Metazoa, Arthropoda, Insecta, Diptera, Tephritidae.